Long non-coding RNA from Lycium barbarum (goji berry), 3916 nucleotides. RefSeq lists it as uncharacterized. Lineage: Eukaryota; Viridiplantae; Streptophyta; Magnoliopsida; Solanales; Solanaceae. The transcript is spliced from 6 exons. The record is from RefSeq and is a predicted model, not a curated record.
UCGACAGCAACAUCACAAAAUCAUACCAUUAUACAGGUCGAAGAAUAGUCGACAGCCUGUAUCAUCCUCUUCAGGUAACAUCAGCCAUGGAAUUCCAGGCAGGUCACUGGUAAAAUUGUUCUUGGUGGCUACGCAGUCCAGGAUUCGCAAACGAUGCCAAAAUUUAGGUAGUCUUCAAAUCAAAUUCAAACGUUUAGCAAUGAGAACGAGCAGAUCGUGUUGAAGGUCCUAUCAAUCAGACACCUCUUGCGCCAUGACAUACAGGGGAGACCAGCGCCUGGCCCUUCUAAGUUCAUAUUUUUUCUAAGUUUAUGUUUGCCGCCUUUAAUAUAUUUUUUUUUUUAGGAUAAAUCAGGUCAAGUGAGAAUCCUUUUCCGUAAUGCACUGGGUCUGUCAUUUUAUGCAUUUUCCUUUUUCCCCCUGGUUUAGUGUCUAAGUUCUUAAUUUGUCAAAUUUAUCUAUAUAAUCUAUUGAUAAAAAGAUUAAGCAUCAACAUUAACUACAUAGUCAAAUCAUAAAAUAAUACUAAUGGCUAGGCUAAAAUCAUAUCAUAUAUAUAUAUAUAUAUAUAUAUAAGUAGGCAAGGCCCGCUGAUGUGGCGUUUCAAUAGAUAAUAUUCUUAUUUAACUUUUUUGUCAAUUUUUUUGGCUUUAUUCUCAUGAAAAAAAAAAAACAAAUACCAUCUUUGAAGGAAAAGUCACGUACCUCCCUCACUCGCCCGAGGCAUAUCUCUUUUUGGGAUUUCUAGGUUUCAGUUUUAACCAUUUUUAUGUUGUCUUUCAUGUUUCUAUUUCAGAGAAUUUUAGGUUUUCUUCAUGCUUCCUACAAUUUUAUGAUGGAUUUCCUUCAAGAUUUUGGUCAAUUGUAGCUAUUAUAUCCUUCUGGCUAUUUUUCUUAACAGCUUAGGUUUUCUUUCGUGUUUGCUUGCGCUUCGUGUAUAGUCGGUUUUCUUCCUCGUUUUGUUCAAUCGUAGCAAUGAAAUUCUUCUGGUUAUCUUCUCGCCCACUUUGCCGGAUAUGUCAGCAAAAAUUUCCAAAUGACCUCAAACAAUUUCCCUUUAUUUUGAAGAACUAUUUUUUUUUUUUAUUAGUCUUUGCCACUUCUGUUGCAGUAUCAUGAUCGACAAUGCCGGUUGUUCAACGUCACUAGCGUUAUGGUCUGGUCAAAGGCAGUCAAAGGCAGCCCGGUGCACUUAGCUCCCGUUAUGCACGGAGUCCGGAGAAGGGCAGGACCACAGAGGUCUCUUGUACGCAGCCUUACCCUGCAUUAUUUGUGUAAGAGGCUGUUUCCACGGCUCGAACCUGUGACCUGCCAAAUUACAUAGAUUGACAGUGGAAGACAAUAUGGAGUGCUGCUCGAAACGGCUCAAUUCUAUUUGAUUUGAACCUUUAAAUGAAGAAAGGUUUACAUCUAUUGUAUAUUACAUAAAGUUGGUCAUAGAGUAUUAUUUGACGUGCUUGAAUUUCAUCUACCUAAUGACUCUUCUCUUAGUCACCACCAACAAUUAUCAUUGCUGCUUUUUCUCAUUCAUUCCUCAAAUUAUGUCAUUUUUAUUUUGCAAUGUCUUUUAGAACUGUCAAUUUAAACACAAACUAAAGCAAAUCACAUGUCGUGUCUAUCAGUAUAUACACAUUUAAUUGGAGAUUAUCAACUACUGAACAGGUGAAGUAACUAAUUCUCCAGUGAAUCGUUUAUUCAUCAUUAGUUUUCUGUUAUUUCCAGUUACUCCUAUCGAAUCCAAAAUGAAAAUGUGAAAUUAAUAAGGUGUUGCAUUAGUUUUUCUCAUUUAUGUAAGUGAAUGUGUUUCUUUACAUUUGUUUAUGGGCAGGAGAGAUGACGCAUGGUUUGCCUCUAUAGAAAGAUCAUGUAUUCAAAUGACUUGAAGUGAUAGGGGUUCUAUAUCGCUUGAGGGCCUCGGACUAGAAGUUGUGGAAAAUUUUCAGGAAGGCAAUUUUAUUUUAGCUAACGGAACUGAGCCCUUGGGGCCUCUUCUGGUGCCACACUUCCAUGAAUCUUGAUGUCCUUGAGAAGAUACUGGAGCAGUGUGCUGCUAAGAAAAUUCUCGUGUUAGUAGCAACAAAUCCUAAUUAUGUAACUGUUGAAGCUAAGGGUCUGCGUGAUAUGCCUGGCUGCACUACUAGAGACCACAUGUCUUCAUAACGCACCAUUAUGUGUAGAAGGAUAAGGAAAACAUUCAUCUGAAACAGUCCUCUCACCAGAAAAUGCGGCACAACAGCUUUACAAAAAGCGAUAAAUAGAAAUAAAGAAGUGCGAUUAAUCAGAUUAACAGAAAGAAGAGGAAGCGAUAGUACCACUAAAGUGUUUGGUAGAUUGGGACGAGACUGGCCUGAAAGAAUAUAACGUUCUAAUAAGAUUCUGUAUAGAGAAGACCAGCGAAAUUACUGAUGAAGAGGUGUCGUUGAAGCAGCUUUCAAAGGCUUAUCAACUUCUUAAAUCAAUGAAGGAACAGGGUUUUCAAGUAGAAGAGGAGAGCUAUGGUUCAAUUCUUAUGUAUUUUAUUGAUUUUGGCAUGGUACGGGAGUUUGAUUUGUACUAUGAGCUCAUCAUAGAUAGAAAUGUUGAUUCACUUGCAAGAUUUUAGCUUACUGAGAUGUUGCUUUCGACUAAAGCUGAAAAUGAAGAUGAAAUCUACCAUCUUUCUCUAUAUGAUGGUGCCGAUAAAUCCGCGUUUCAAGGGACCAAGUUAAGGAUUUUGCGAGGCUUCUACGAGCUGUUGACAUAACAAAAAUUCUAUCUACUGAUUCUGUCACAAAUAUCUUCAAGUUCUAGGGGAAGUUGUAUUUGAGUCCUUCGCAAGGAAGUUUCUCUUUAGGAGCUGGUAACAAGAGGUAAACUAUCACGUUUCUUUUAUUUCAAGAAUCGAAUGUGAUGUUGAAUUUCUGCAGUCUUUUUGUUUUACAAUAAGUUAUUUUUUCUGUUUUAUGGUGCAUGAUUGAUGGACUAUAAUUUUCAUUUUGAUAAUAUUACUCCUUAUUUGAAGAAGCAUAUGUGUUCUUACUAGGCAGUUUCCAAAGUCAUUACUCCAUUAUUUAUGUCUAGGAACAUGAAAGGAUGAGAUGGAGCUGUUGGAUAUCUUGGUCUGGCUUGUGGGUCACCCAUGUGGACUGACCCGACCCGUUUAAAAGAGAUAGAGAUGAGAGAAUUUACUAUAGGGAUAAGGGAAGUUACCUUACGGUUAAUAACAUUGGUUUAUAUGAAAAACACUUCUCCCUUUUUUUGCUAGAUGAAAAACUCAUGUUUGUUUCCUCUCUGGGAGGAAUUAAUACAAACUCUCUCCCUCUUCAGUUACAUUUUAUAUAAUCACGAGCUCUUAACAGAGUAGCAUUUGAAUCGUGAAUAGAAGCAUAUAAACCAAAAAUUGAUCAAAUACAAAUUUAAUUAGUAACCACUGAGAGUUUAUCAAUUUGUAAGGAGACAGGUUGCUUAGGUGAGGAAGUCGUUUUGCAACCUGUGGUUUAAGACUUUGUUAAAUGAUGAAUCUGCAACUCCUGAGAAUUGUGAAGGCACGUUAGCCAAGGUGGAAGAAGCACCUGCAAUGGCAAUAGAACCACCAAAAGGCUUGACGAUGAUUAAUGCUAAAUAAUCAAGUUUUGGCGGGGAACUUUCACCUCUUCAGAUGUAAAUAUUUACUUGUAAUCUUUUUUUUUUAUUUGGGGUUUUUUUUCCAGCUUUAGUGGAAGAACAUCAAAGUUGAAUUUGUUAUUCUUCAUAAUUAUUCUCUCUGUCUUCCUUCCUCAUGUAUCAUAUCUCAAGCUUUUAGCUUUUAUUUGAGAGAGAAUAGAUGAAUAUUUGAUGUCUAAAAAAUAUUUCACUUUACAUAUUGUAAUUAUUGUAAUAAUUUAUGAUAAAAUCAUAAAUAAAUAUUUUGUUAGUAGAGAAUUAUUUUCUUUUAUAU